GCCCAAAGAGGUAUAAGCCAGGCAGAACUGGAUGGCGUACUUAUUGGGAUUCGCUGCCUACAUUCACUAUUGCUUCAUCCUGCUGUCCAGAACAUUUGGUCUGUGACUGAGUCCCGGUGAUUCUAACCUCAGAUCCAUCGCUUUUCUCCAUCUCCACUGUCACCGUCCUCAUCCAACAAGCCAUGUGGCUGCACCCAGUAGAGCUGUGCAUCCAGAAGGACACGAAACCUGUUUGAACUUCUGUAGUGGACACCAGACUUCCUCAAAGGCUGUCUUGUCUGUGGAUAAUUAACUAAGACAGUGUUUACCGGGGGUUCCUGAUGAUCGGGGGAAGGAGCUGAAGCUGGUUCAUGGGCCCCUGUGGGAUC
Molecule: long non-coding RNA, 368 nt
Organism: Mustela erminea (ermine)
Lineage: Eukaryota; Metazoa; Chordata; Mammalia; Carnivora; Mustelidae
Exons: 3
Source: RefSeq, a predicted model, not a curated record